Long non-coding RNA from Varroa destructor (honeybee mite), 1070 nucleotides. Lineage: Eukaryota; Metazoa; Arthropoda; Arachnida; Mesostigmata; Varroidae. The record is from RefSeq and is a predicted model, not a curated record.
AGCUCCGACAGCUUGCGGAAAAUGGUGUGUUUCAAGGCCGCUCCAGCAUGGCACCACAGUUUCCUCUGACAGUGAUCGACCAAUCACGAGGAAGUGAUUGUAGGGUUUAAUUGAUUCAUGGUCCUUCAUUUUGAGACGAAAGAGCAAGGAGACGCGACCGGUAAAGCGCGAAGGACGUAUAGGAUUCGUGCAAUGUGUGGACCAGCUCAAUAAUACGUAAAAUGUGUUUACAUUACGAUCGGUUACACCACCCCCAGACGCCUCCAGAUGAGUCGUCUUCCUAUGGCAUGAGAUCGACGGUGAGUACAACGACGUACCAUCACUGCAGUUGUUGAAGCGCACUAAUCUGCUCACAUGGCUGAGCCUUAUUACGGCGUCUCCCCAACGUGCCCUGCUCCUCAAGGAAAUUUCCCUGGUACCUCCCCACGCGGCAGCAGACAGAGACGAAUGCCGUGGGGGCUGCUACAGGCAUUAAAGGAUAUCGACCAUAUCUAAUUUUUAAUUCCAUUUGUUGUUGACUGGUAUUUCAACCCCUUCGUCAUGGGUUCUUCCGAGAGUACAGAAGAACCUGCGCUGAAAUCGAUCGUCAUUAUGCGAUGAAAUGUAGAGAGCACGUGGCCGUAGAAACGUUGGUGUUGGCGUCCUACAGGAGGGGCAAAUUCAUUAAAGGGAUUUAUGGCAAUUGAAGAGAUCCUUUCCUGUAAAGAGACUGAGCUCAGCCCGGAUCCCCGUACGCUGAAAUAAUCUUUAUGGACUGGUCCUAUCAGAAAGGUUCACGCUGCGAAAUGCGUCGAUGGAUUUAGCAGACUAGACAACGUUUAAGAGAAGGUAUGGUCUCGGAGUGUCCAUCUCGCCUAACAUCAUAGCUACUUAGACCGUUGGCGUGCAGCUCAGGGGUUUGUCAAUAGCCGAACAAAGGAUGGACACAGCUUAUCAUAAUACGGAUAAGUCUCCCCAGGAAAUGCUGAGCCGAACCUGUUAACAGAUUUAUAUCUCCGUAAUUCCUCCAGUGGCGCUACAAUAUCAGAUUGUGUUCUUACAGUGCAAGCUUAUGGAAUCGUUUUAGAUGG